UAUAGUCAAUUUUUUAUUUUCAGAUAUGAAGUUAUUUGUCUAGUCUAAUAUCUAUUAUUACUCGUCUCAUAUUACUAGUCUUUGCAUUUUGUAUUUUUCACUGUUUACUGUUCUUGGAAGGGCUAGAAGAAUUAGAAGCCUACAUGUUUCAUUUAGUUGGAAAAAUGAUUUAAGUAACUCUUUCAAAGAACAAGUUGGAGAUUUGAAUGAAGACAGAAAAGAAUGGAACAACAGAGGGUAAGACCAUGAGGUGUUUGUUGUUGGUUCUAGAACUGUGUUGCUAAUGCGUAUACUGCAAAAUAGCAGGUGAAAAUGUUCUAUAAAACAAAUCCAUCAAUUAUUUAGAAUAAAAUCUCCCCAAUGCAAAUUUUAUUAGGGAUGAGAACCAACUAUUAGAUUCUGAAUAUGAAUAUAUAUAUAUAUAUGAACAUACAUAUAUGUACAUGUAUAUAAAUAUAUAUGUAUUCAUGUUCACAUAUUGCUGAAUAGGUAGGAGUGAUAGAAGUUGCACUUUAAAGGCCUAUUUCUCUCUAGUAGAAAAAUAUCUAGGACAAAGUAUUCCAAAGUGCAAAAUUAGGUUUAUCUGUCUACAAAUGUAAAAGAGGUAGGUCUUGAGGCAAACCAGAAGUACUUGCAAAUGGGUGGAAAAAGAAGGUGAGAGAAUUUGACUUCAGUGCAGGUAGAGGCUGCUCCAUAAGGGGUUCAAAUGCUUGGGAGCUUUGACACCACAGGGAUGGAUGAGAGGCAGAGAGGGUGUAUUUCCAGGAGACAGGGAUAACGUCUCCUAAAGCCUACAUCUUCAAAAAGUCUCACCAGUCAAGAGAGAAAUGAAAAGGAGUUCUUUUUGUGAAAAUACACUCAAUGCAGAAAAAAAAAUUUUUUUCCCCUACACCACGCCUUGUCCUUUUUCUUCCAGGACACUCAGGUAGAAUUCAAAACAGUUUCUGUAAAAGCAAGUGCAGUUUGUUAUCAUCUACAAUGGAUUUUCAGAUGAUUCAUUUUAUUUGCCCGAAGUAGAAUGGUCAAAAGGAAAGUUAUUCAGUCUGAGAAGAGACAGACAAAAUCUAGCAUGAGGAACAAAAAAAAGUUCUGGCUUUCCAGUACUUGGCUCGUGGAAACUAUACCAGACCAACUCCCUGUCUCACCUCUGAUGGAUUAAGAACAUUCUAAACACUUAAUUUGUGAGGUAGUUUCAUUUUUACUAAGGUAAAUGUUCCACCCAGAAGUAGAAAUUGAAACUAGUACUCAUACCUAUUUUAGAACAGCAUAAGUGGAUAAAUGAUGUAGUCUGGUUUAUUUUUUCCAUUUUUUUUUAAUUUUUUAUCCUGUCCACUUUACUCCAGUCCGAAAUUGUAGUCUAUUGGAGCAGUGUGAUGUUUUGAACACCUCAGUAGAGUACUUUAUAAAUAUUUAUACAGCUUUCAGAUAGCAGUGAGCUGAAGUCCUCUCUAUCCGUGGAGCUAAAAACAAUUUAAAAUGCCAUUUAUCCAACGGCUUUGCUGCAAAGCGUUAUUUUGCGCUUUUUUGCUGGGUUUUGUUGUGUUUAUGAAACAAGUUCGAGUACUCUACUGCCAGUUGGGAGGAUUUGGAACUCCAAAUAAGAUGCCCUAAUGAUGUACACAAGCUCAAACUUCAGGGGCUGCUUUGGUCUGACCAUCAUCUGUUCUGUUCUGUAGUGAGGUGUUCAAUGUGAGUGAAUGUUGCCAUGAGUGGUAAGCAAGUAGGAAUUCUGUGUGCUCUGGAAGACACUAUUGAGGAUGAAGAGAGAAAAUGUGUAUGUAUCAGUGUGGACCUCAAAGUUUUCAUGGCUGUAGAGGCAGAAAGGGUGUAUUUCCAGGAGACAGGGAUAACGUCGCCUAAAGCCUACAUCUUCAAAAAGUCUCACCAGUCAAGAGAGAAGUGAAAAAGAGUUCUUUUUGUGAAAAUAAACUCAAUGCAGAAAAGAAAAGAUACUGAUCUUUUUCUUUAGUCCCAGCCAUUUUGUACAUCUUCAUGAAUAAUAAACCUUUUUUUUUAUUAUGAUAAGUCAUAAUAGUCUAUAUGAUAAUAAUGUUCUAUCAUUAUCAUUAUGAUGAUUACAUAAAAUGCUAUGUUUUGUUUUACACCAUGAAGCCAGUAUGUAUAUUCUCCUUGUUCAGUAAAUCUAACAUUAGCACUAAUAAAUUGUGACUUUAAUUCAAAUCCAGA
Molecule: long non-coding RNA, 2187 nt
Organism: Herpailurus yagouaroundi (jaguarundi)
Lineage: Eukaryota; Metazoa; Chordata; Mammalia; Carnivora; Felidae
Exons: 2
Source: RefSeq, a predicted model, not a curated record